This 468-nucleotide ribosomal RNA is filed under the name uncultured bacterium. RNAcentral's name for it is "partial 16S ribosomal RNA". It matches the Rfam family "Bacterial small subunit ribosomal RNA", at positions 28 to 507 of the family's 1533-position model. The record is from RNAcentral.
GACGAACGCUGGCGGCGGGCUUAACACAUGCAAGUCGAACGGAAAGGCCCUGCGUGUUUGGUGUUCUCGAGGGCCAAACGGGGGAGUAACACGUGAGUAACGGGCCCUUCACUUUGGUAGAAGUUCAGGAAACGGGGGCUAAUACCGUAUAGGAUCUGCUGCUGCAGUGAGGGGGGUGGAAAGUUGCGGCGGUUGGGGAUGGACGCGCGGCUGAUCGACUUGCUGGUGGGGGAGGGGCUGACCAAGGGUGUGACGGGUAGCCGGCAUGAGAGGGUGACCGGGCACAAUGGGACUGCGGUACGCAGCAGUCUGCUACGGGAGGCAGCAGUGGCGAGUCUUGCCCAAUGGGCGGAAGUCUGUUGAAGAAACGCUGGGUGCGGGAUGACGGUCUUCGGGUUGUAAAACGCUUUCGCCUGUGACGCAGCGUGAGUGACGGUAAUGGGUAAAGAAGCACCGGCUAACUACGUG